AUGUAUUGCGGUAAAAGUCGUGAUGCUACCAUUGUGCUUGAGGCCGUAGCAUCUCAGGACACAUGGAUUUGGCAUGCAUUCUUUGGGUUGCCGGGAACACUCAAUGAUAUCAAUAUCCUCAAUAGAUCUCCUUUGUUCAAAAGAUUAAUUUCUGGGGAUGCUCCAGCUUGCAACUACAAAAUCAUGGACAAUGAGUACUCAAUGGGAUACUAUCUGACCGAUGGCAUCUAUCCCGAAUGGGCAACUCUUGUGAAGUCCAUCAAGGAGAAAAAUGGGGUGCCCUUAACAAGAAAAGAGGCUCAUUUCACCAAGGCACAAGAGGCAGCCCGCAAGGAUAUUGAGAGAGCUUUCGGUAUUUUGCAAGCAAGGUUUGCCAUAGUUCGUGGUCCAGCUCGGUUUUGGGACAAAAAAAACCUUGAUGAACAU
RNAcentral lists this ribosomal RNA (426 nucleotides) under Triticum aestivum (bread wheat). RNAcentral describes it as "partial small subunit ribosomal RNA". The record is from RNAcentral. Lineage: Eukaryota; Viridiplantae; Streptophyta; Magnoliopsida; Poales; Poaceae.